This is a long non-coding RNA of Mandrillus leucophaeus (drill), 901 nucleotides long. RefSeq lists it as uncharacterized. NCBI's taxonomy places the organism in Eukaryota, Metazoa, Chordata, Mammalia, Primates, Cercopithecidae. The record is from RefSeq and is a predicted model, not a curated record. The transcript has 3 exons.
GGCGUACGUGGAGCUGGGCGUGGAGUCCAGGCUGCAGCCGAGGGAGCCGAGUAGGGCAAAGUUAGGAGUCGCUGUUUGGAUGGCAAGUUCAGAAGUUGGAACUUGUCUCAGUUUCCCCGCUCCAGAAAUGGGGUUGGGAUCUAAAGACAGGGGUAUGAGUGAAGAAAACACAGAGCCACCCUGGAAAGCAAAGAGGGAGUGGGGAGAUCUGAGAAUCGAUACUGAACAGCUUCAGUACUACGAUGCCAUAAUGGGGCUGGGAGCUCAGCCAAAAGCCCCCCGCCCAGUUUUGUUUUUUAGAGGUGGUCCUAGAAUCUCUGGAGAAACAACAUGGAAAUGGAGACCAAAAGAGGGAAGGAGGGAUGCCACCAGAUGACUCUGGGAUCCCGGAAAAUGGAACACUGUGUGCAACGGGCAAAGAAUUUUUCAAAAGGGAUUUCAACCUCUGACCACCUGGAGACAGGAGACUGGCGCUCAUUGUAAAUGCACUGACAUGACAGGGAACAGCUGCUGGGGAGGUGGAGACGGGUCGUGGGGAGAGACAGGAAGCCCCAGCGGCUUGGAAAUCCAGGAGCCAAGGAAGCAGUGAGCUUUCUGCAGAGCCAGAUCCGGUGGAGCCAAUUCACCAGCAGGUCCCGGCAGUGACUCUUCUACAACAGAUUCCUGCCCGUCCCUGUGCCCCAUCGUCCCCCUGCCACCAAUCUCUACCCCAUGGGAGCCAGACCAAGCCUUUCUGUGUGUAGCACACAUCUCUCCUGCUUAGAGCUCACUUACUGGCUUCCGUGGCAUUUUGUUUCUUUUUUAGAGAUGGGGUCUUGCCCUGUCACCCAGGCUGGGGUACGGUGGCAUGAUCAUGGCUCACUGUAGCUCACUCCUGGGCUCAAGUGAUCCUCCUGCCUCA